This 496-nucleotide ribosomal RNA is filed under the name uncultured bacterium. RNAcentral describes it as "partial 16S ribosomal RNA". It matches the Rfam family "Bacterial small subunit ribosomal RNA", at positions 29 to 507 of the family's 1533-position model. The record is from RNAcentral.
AUGCACGCUGGCGGCGUGCCUAAUACAUGCAAGUCGAGCGAACAGACGAGGAGCUUGCUCCUCUGACGUUAGCGGCGGACGGAUGAGUAACACGUGGAUAACCUACCUAUAAGACUGGGAUAACUUCGGGAAACCGGAGCUAAUACCGGAUAAUAUAUUGAACCGCAUGGUUCAAUAGUGAAAGACGGUUUUGCUGUCACUUAUAGAUGGAUCCGCGCCGCAUUAGCUAGUUGGUAAGGUAACGGCUUACCAAGGCAACGAUGCGUAGCCGACCUGAGAGGGUGAUCGGCCACACUGGAACUGAGACACGGUCCAGACUCCUACGGGAGGCAGCAGUAGGGAAUCUUCCGCAAUGGGCGAAAGCUUGACGGAGCAACGCCGCGUGAGUGAUGAAGGUCUUCGGAUCGUAAAACUCUGUUAUUAGGGAAGAACAAAUGUGUAAGUAACUAUGCACGUCUUGACGGUACCUAAUCAGAAAGCCACGGCUAACUACGUG